Molecule: ribosomal RNA, 765 nt
Filed under: Escherichia coli
Lineage: Bacteria; Pseudomonadati; Pseudomonadota; Gammaproteobacteria; Enterobacterales; Enterobacteriaceae
Description: partial 23S ribosomal RNA
Rfam family: Bacterial large subunit ribosomal RNA
Source: RNAcentral
AGGGGAGUGAAAAAGAACCUGAAACCGUGUACGUACAAGCAGUGGGAGCACGCUUAGGCGUGUGACUGCGUACCUUUUGUAUAAUGGGUCAGCGACUUAUAUUCUGUAGCAAGGUUAACCGAAUAGGGGAGCCGAAGGGAAACCGAGUCUUAACUGGGCGUUAAGUUGCAGGGUAUAGACCCGAAACCCGGUGAUCUAGCCAUGGGCAGGUUGAAGGUUGGGUAACACUAACUGGAGGACCGAACCGACUAAUGUUGAAAAAUUAGCGGAUGACUUGUGGCUGGGGGUGAAAGGCCAAUCAAACCGGGAGAUAGCUGGUUCUCCCCGAAAGCUAUUUAGGUAGCGCCUCGUGAAUUCAUCUCCGGGGGUAGAGCACUGUUUCGGCAAGGGGGUCAUCCCGACUUACCAACCCGAUGCAAACUGCGAAUACCGGAGAAUGUUAUCACGGGAGACACACGGCGGGUGCUAACGUCCGUCGUGAAGAGGGAAACAACCCAGACCGCCAGCUAAGGUCCCAAAGUCAUGGUUAAGUGGGAAACGAUGUGGGAAGGCCCAGACAGCCAGGAUGUUGGCUUAGAAGCAGCCAUCAUUUAAAGAAAGCGUAAUAGCUCACUGGUCGAGUCGGCCUGCGCGGAAGAUGUAACGGGGCUAAACCAUGCACCGAAGCUGCGGCAGCGACGCUGAUGCGUUGUUGGGUAGGGGAGCGUUCUGUAAGCCUGCGAAGGUGUGCUGUGAGGCAUGCUGGAGGUAUCAGAAGUGCGAAUG